Molecule: unclassified non-coding RNA, 506 nt
Filed under: Leucochrysum alpinum
Lineage: Eukaryota; Viridiplantae; Streptophyta; Magnoliopsida; Asterales; Asteraceae
Also listed under: 1 other name
Description: partial external transcribed spacer
Source: RNAcentral
GCCAUUUCGGUUAUUGACGACCUUCCUUGCAUUUGAGCAUGGUUGGUUGUUAUUAGUCGUGUGGUUUCGGGGAUGUCUACCGUAAAGGUGCAUGAGUGGUGUUUGGAUUGUUACGGGUGGUUGGCUCCUUGCUUGCGCAACCAACUUCCACCUGGCAUUCCUCUUCAUUUUGGUUUCAAUGCAUGGAUUGCAAUGAAAGCACGUUGGGUUUCUUGUGUUGCAUGCCUAAUCGAUGGUAUCGCGUGAAGAAUCGGUAAUCAUCUUCAUCUUUUGUCGCACUUGCGGUACGAGAUGAACCAUAAAGCAGCCUUUGUGAUCCACUCUUUUGAUGCACUUGCACUAAAUUUGUGGCUCAUUGAGUGUUAGCUCGGUCUCAUGGAUACAGAACCUUGUGUGGGCAUGUGAUCUUUUGCUAGGUCGCUGUUUGCUCAAGCUAAGCUAUUUCAAAUACGAUUUCCUAUCACGUUUCAACGUGGUAGGCUAUGUCGAAUGUGAAUGCUACCUGG